UACGUAGGGUGCGAGCGUUAAUCGGAAUUACUGGGCGUAAAGCGUGCGCAGGCGGUUAUGCAAGACAGAUGUGAAAUCCCCGGGCUUAACCUGGGAACUGCAUUUGUGACUGCAUAGCUAGAGUACGGUAGAGGGGGAUGGAAUUCCGCGUGUAGCAGUGAAAUGCGUAGAUAUGCGGAGGAACACCGAUGGCGAAGGCAGUCCCCUGGACCUGUACUGACGCUCAUGCACGAAAGCGUGGGGAGCAAACAGG
RNAcentral lists this ribosomal RNA (253 nucleotides) under uncultured bacterium. RNAcentral's name for it is "partial 16S ribosomal RNA". It matches the Rfam family "Bacterial small subunit ribosomal RNA", at positions 524 to 776 of the family's 1533-position model. The record is from RNAcentral.